ACCCGCUGAACUUAAGCAUAUCAAUAAGCGGAGGAAAAGAAACCAACAGGGAUUGCCCUAGUAACGGCGAGUGAAGCGGCAACAGCUCAAAUUUGAAAUCUGGCGUCUUUGGCGUCCGAGUUGUAAUUUGCAGAGGGCGCUUUGGCAUUGGCAGCGGUCCAAGUUCCUUGGAACAGGACGUCACAGAGGGUGAGAAUCCCGUACGUGGUCGCUAGCCUUUACCGUGUAAAGCCCCUUCGACGAGUCGAGUUGUUUGGGAAUGCAGCUCUAAAUGGGAGGUAAAUUUCUUCUAAAGCUAAAUACUGGCCAGAGACCGAUAGCGCACAAGUAGAGUGAUCGAAAGAUGAAAAGCACUUUGGAAAGAGGGUUAAAAAGCACGUGAAAUUGUUGAAAGGGAAGCGCUUGCAGCCAGACUUGCCUGUAGUUGCUCAUCCGGGUUUUUACCCGGUGCACUCUUCUAUAGGCAGGCCAGCAUCAGUUUGGGCGGUUGGAUAAAGGUCUCUGUCAUGUACCUCUCUUCGGGGAGAACUUAUAGGGGAGACGACAUGCAACCAGCCCGGACUGAGGUCCGCGCAUCUGCUAGGAUGCUGGCGUAAUGGCUGU
RNAcentral lists this ribosomal RNA (603 nucleotides) under uncultured fungus. RNAcentral describes it as "eukaryotic LSU rRNA". It matches the Rfam family "Eukaryotic large subunit ribosomal RNA", at positions 23 to 641 of the family's 3401-position model. Lineage: Eukaryota; Fungi. The record is from RNAcentral.